RNAcentral lists this ribosomal RNA (489 nucleotides) under uncultured Planctomycetota bacterium. RNAcentral's name for it is "bacterial SSU rRNA". It matches the Rfam family "Bacterial small subunit ribosomal RNA", at positions 40 to 523 of the family's 1533-position model. Lineage: Bacteria; Pseudomonadati; Planctomycetota. The record is from RNAcentral.
CGGCAUGGAUUAGGCAUGCAAGUCGUGCGCGAUUUACGGAUUGAGACUUCGGUCGAUUGAAGUAAAUGAAAGCGGCGAAAGGGAGAGUAACGCGUGGAUAUCUGCCCUUGGCUCCAGGAUAGCUACGGGAAACUGUGGGUAAUACUGGAUAAUAUCUCCGGAUCAAAGGUGUGAUUCCGGCCGAGGAUGAGUCCGCGUCCUAUUAGGUAGUUGGCGGGGUAAAGGCCCACCAAGCCGAAAAUGGGUACCGGGUGUGAGAACAUGGCCCGGCUCACUGGGACUGAGACACUGCCCAGACGUCUACGGAUGGCUGCAGUCGAGAAUCUUCCGCAAUGGGCGAAAGCCUGACGGAGCGACGCCGCGUGCGGGAUGAAGGCCUUCGGGUUGUAAACCGCUGUCAGUUGGGAGGAAGUGCUAUGGGGUUCUCUUCAUAGCUUGACCGAUCUUCAGAGGAAGUACGGGCUAAGUACGUGCCAGCAGCCGCGGUAU